This 216-nucleotide ribosomal RNA is filed under the name uncultured bacterium. Its description in RNAcentral is "partial 16S ribosomal RNA". It matches the Rfam family "Bacterial small subunit ribosomal RNA", at positions 318 to 526 of the family's 1533-position model. The record is from RNAcentral.
AUGGAAUUACGGGGGGACUCCUACGGGAGGCAGCAGUGGGGAAUAUUGGACAAUGGGGGGAACCCUGAUCCAGCCAUGCCGCGUGUGUGAAGAAGGCCUUCGGGUUGUAAAGCACUUUAAUUUGGGAGGAAGGGCUUACGGUUAAUAACCGCUAAGUUUUGACGUUACCAAAAGAAUAAGCACCGGCUAACUUCGUGCCAGCAGCCGCGGUAAAAU